Molecule: transfer RNA, 43 nt
Filed under: Lamprolepis smaragdina
Lineage: Eukaryota; Metazoa; Chordata; Lepidosauria; Squamata; Scincidae
Description: partial tRNA-Tyr
Source: RNAcentral
UUUUGAUAAGGGCGGGAUCACGGCCCGCCUAUGCAGGGCUACA